RNAcentral lists this signal recognition particle RNA (265 nucleotides) under Actinomycetota bacterium. RNAcentral's name for it is "Actinobacteria bacterium (freshwater metagenome) signal recognition particle sRNA large type". It matches the Rfam family "Bacterial large signal recognition particle RNA". From Rfam's summary of the family: The signal recognition particle (SRP) is a universally conserved ribonucleoprotein involved in the co-translational targeting of proteins to membranes. Lineage: Bacteria; Bacillati; Actinomycetota. The record is from RNAcentral.
CCGUGCUAGGCGGGGAGCUAGCGGUGCCCUGUACUCACAAUCCGCUUUAGUGAGGCUUAAUUCCAGGCAGAGGUUUAUGGUGGUGAGGUUUGCGCCUGCGUAAGUGGCGUUGAAGGUUGGGUCUUGUGCGGCGAAGACUUACAAAUCCCGUCAGGUCCGAGAGGAAGCAGCGGUAAGUAAAUUUCUUCGGGUGCCACAAACAAACCUGGCCGGAGCAAACUGCACAGGUGGCGCUUGUUAUUAUAAAUCGAAGCCUGGUGCACGG